AAAAAGGAAAAGAGAUAUUUCAAGAAUCAAGUAACGAAAAUUUUUUCUCUUAAAAUAAAUUGAAUCAAUUUAGAGUAGUAAAUUAUGUCACAAUUAUUGUAAAUAACUAAGUAAGAAUAUUAUUUCAUGCUAAAUAAGGUAUGUGAAUCAGUAAAUAAAUUCGUAAAGGUGAGAUGAGGAUGCAAAUCAAGAUCAAAGUUAACAUGAAUCAAUCAAAAAAAUUAACUAAUCAAGGAGACGGCCGAAAAAGAGGUGAAAAUUAUGAAGAUUCUUCUCACCCAAUCUAAUUUUUAUCAGCAUGUCAAUUACCAAACAAACAACAUAAAACAUGUUCAAAUUUCCGUUCAUAAAUAAAGGGCCGAACAAAUUCAAAUCAUUAGACAAAUAUCAAAAGUAGCAAAGACUUUUAAGGAAACAAAUUCGGACAAAUUCAAAUCAGUAGACAAAUAUCAAAAGUAGCAAAGACUUUUAAGGAAAUAAAUUCUAACUCUGAAUCCAAUAACAAAAUCUUGACCUUAUCGAUGCCAAAGUAAUCAACUUAUCAGGCAAAUAAGAUAGGUUUAGCACUCAUACUAAACAAAAUUCAACCACAAAUUAGGAUUAGCCAAUGUUUACAAAAAUUAAAGCUUUUCAUCUAUAAAAGUCUAAGGAGGAAAAUAAACAUAGAAUUAAAAGAAUCAAGUCAAAAUCAUAGCGUUGUUUUCAUGAAUUUCAAAUUUAAAAAUCAAGCAAUGCAAAUAAAAAAUGAUAUUUAAUUCGUACGAAAAAUUAAACCCGAAAAAUUCUUAACUCUCUUCAAAUUUGAACUUGAAGGGCCAAUUUAUGAACUUCUCCCUAAAAUAGUGAUCCACCUGUUGGACAAUAAUCUCUCUAGUGAUGGCUCGCAGGUAACUCAUCGGUUAUCAACCUCGAUGAUGCAGCAACGAAAAACUGUUGAGAAGGUGGUGGUUUUUGGUUUUGUGGUGACCUGUUGAUGUUUCACCAAAAUGAGGUGGUCGGUGGUGGUGUGGAUAGUAAGGAGCAAGAGAAGGGUGGGGGCUGGAGUGAUGGGUUUCAUCAGUAGGGAAACGGCAGGAAUGGAGAAGUGGUUAGUAGUGGUCGACACUUGAUAUGGAGUGACAGAGAUGGAGGAAAAGGGUGGAUGAUGCGCCUGAAAUUUGUCGAUGAUUCAACCAAUAGUGGAAGGAGAGAGAGGAAGAGAGAGAAAGACUUAAUAGAGGGUUG
RNAcentral lists this long non-coding RNA (1224 nucleotides) under Capsicum annuum. RNAcentral describes it as "long non-coding RNA (CANN_LNC008184)". The record is from RNAcentral. Lineage: Eukaryota; Viridiplantae; Streptophyta; Magnoliopsida; Solanales; Solanaceae.